UUUACUGUAUAAUAUAGGUAGUAAUUAAUUGCCCAGAAACGCCAUGAUGCUUGAAUCUUUCUUUAUCAUACCUCACUGGUCACUGUCUCCGUUACUAUUAUACGUCAUUUUCAAGCGCCAGUACGCCUCUACAAUCUUUGUUUCCUAGGCAAUUGAUUUUUAUUUUGGGCGUUAGAGAAAAUCAUCUAAAGCUCAACGUGGUGGUUACUGACAUGGAUAAUCUAUUCAUGUCAACACAGCAGGUUUAAUGGUGCACACUGGCUGCUGCACAAGCUUAUGCUGCAUUCCUGACACCUCGGAAGUCAGAUUUGUCCUAGUUGGAUUCUCCCAAUUUCAUUCCAGACGAACUUGGAAGUUGGGACAUUGGAACGCCACUUGAAAUCGGAGAUCCCACUUCUAAACUCGGGGUAAGUCAAUCUACCCCAACUUCAAAGUUGGAACUGAAGUCCGACCUCUGACAUCCGAGUUGUAUGGAAUGCAGCAUUACAAGUAGGCUGGAAAGCCUUGCUUUUCAAGGCUUCAACAUUUCUUUCGUGAGCUUAUAAACUAUCUUUGUUACAGCCGUCAUUUUCUCACAUGCCAAUUUGCAAUAACAAUCAGAUACGAAUUUUAACAAUGUCAACACAAUAGUCUCUUUAAAUGUGUGCACCAAUAGAGCUUUUAUGAUUCACAAUCUUUAGUCCUAUUCAAAUUCCAGUCAAAUAGGAGUUGAACAGCAUGGCAUCUAAAACUGCACUGGAACAGUUUCAUAAUGAAAUCAAAAGUGCAAAGGAGCAUGCAAAUUAUAUAAGAUUAGAUUAAAUUCAUCUUUAUCGUCAUUGUGCAGAGUACAAGUACAGAGACAACGAAAUGCCGUUUGCGUCUAACCAGAAGUGGGAAAAAGUAGAAAUCUUGUGAAUCAUUAAAGGAAUGAUACAACCAUUGGAUGAAUGUUGAACCGAGAAACAGACAAACUCAUCAUCAGUUGUAUGAAGACCAUGAAGGCUUCAGUAAUGGCUAUUCCCUUACUUCUUGCGCUGGCAGGUACGUUGCUCUCAUUCAUGGCAGAGGAGUCAUUUUCUGAAGUAACGUAUUUGACUGGAGCAUUUAUGUUUGGCUCUUAUCACAUCAACUAGAUGGGUAGCCUACUGCAUAGAUAGAUAGAUAGAUAGAUAGAUAGAUAGAUACUUUAUUGAUCCCCAAGGGGAAAUUCAAGAUGGUGGGAAGAGGAGUUCAAUGCAAUGUAUGUUUUGCGACAUGCCUUAAAUGUCAAAGUAGAAGCAAAAAUGUGUUGCUAAACCUGUUUUAGAUUAGAUUAGAUUAGAUUCAACUUUAUUGUCAUUGUGCAGAGUACAAGUACACAGACAACGAAACAUUAAUCAGUUAUUCCUACGGGUUUCCUAUGGGUUACUGUAAACCUAGGCAUGUUGAAAAAUCAAGAUGACCAUCUUGUCGGACAAUCUGAAGUAAACUGUACCUGUAAUUUUAAGGAUAGGCUAUGAGAGUGAGCACACACACUCAUUCACUCACACACAGACAAGGCAGACCAACAGAACGAACCAAUUGAGAUGCAUUUCGCCCCCUGGUGGAAGGUGAGGGUAGGGUAAUUAAAUUGUAAAUGCAUGAACCACAGAAGUGCUUCUGUGUGUCUAGAUUCCCUUUUUAGAGAUACACUACCCUCUCCAAAUUUCCAUGUGGAACAUAUAUGAGGACAUAAAACAAUAUUUAUUUCAUUAAAUAAAUAAUAUUAGACAUACAAUGUUUUUUUUUUUAUUUCAGAUCAACAUCAAUGAACCAAAAUAACAUUAUAUAAUUCAAAUAUUCAAAUGAAUUGGGCUUUUUAGAUGACAGGAAAAGUGUCAGUUAUAUUAUAUUCAUACAUAACUAAUUAAAUUGAGUUCACAGGUCCUUUGUGGUUGAUUAUAGAAAGUUAUUAAUUCAAAAUUCGACACAAAUGUCUAAAUCAUGCUAAUGUUGUAGUUGUACUAACUCAAAUAUAUUUAUAUGUGUAUACCAUGCCCUGUAUGAAGAAAUAACUCUUGACACGAGUAGGUUGUGCUCUGGGGUCCUACCUGAAGAGAGGAAUCGGAUGGGAUUGCCAAGACCAACAAGGCUUGCAUCGUGGUUCUGACAACCCCCAGGGACGACAAAGGACACUGUGGGGGCUCUCUGCUCAGCUCUGAGUGGAUCAUCACGGCUCGUCACUGUGAUAAGAUAAACCUGGAGGCCAUAGUUGGAAAGCACCCCACUGGGGAAGGCCUUACUAUAAGUAUUCAAGAUGGGGAUAAGUACAAGUUUAUAAACAAGAGUCAAGGCCUAGAACAUGAUCUUAUGUUGAUAUAAAUAGACAAUAAAGACACAAAUGACCUCAUCACAAUACCCUUGCCUAAAGAAAACUGUGCAACUCCACCUCUUUACACCACAGUUGACAUUGUUGGCUGGAUGACUGCAACUGUAGGCCGUUACACAGAGAAAAAAAAUAUCUACCAUGCAAACAAACUGCAGUGUGGAAAUUUGACUGUUGUUGAAUGCCAUUCCCCAAGUUGCCCAUAUCUUCAGGACUACCAAUAUCAGCAUCUUCUCUGUGCUAUAGGCACAAAUACAAAAUGUGAUAGCUGUCAUGGGGACUCCGGUUCUAGUCUGAUAAGUGGAGGAAAGCUUCAUGGAGUUCUGGUCAUGUCUGAUGAUUAUUUUUGUGGUGACACUGUUGACUUCAUGGACAUCUGCCACACCGAAUACAGAAAGUGGAUCUUCACCACCACUAGACUGUAGGCGCAGAAACCCAACACAUACUUUCCUACAACAGUAUGUGAUAAUAAAGAGAGGGCAGAUGUCCCUAAAAGUCCCC
Long non-coding RNA from Alosa sapidissima (American shad), 2827 nucleotides. RefSeq lists it as uncharacterized. The record is from RefSeq and is a predicted model, not a curated record. Lineage: Eukaryota; Metazoa; Chordata; Actinopteri; Clupeiformes; Clupeidae. The transcript is spliced from 5 exons.